Molecule: ribosomal RNA, 499 nt
Filed under: uncultured bacterium
Lineage: Bacteria
Description: partial 16S ribosomal RNA
Rfam family: Bacterial small subunit ribosomal RNA
Source: RNAcentral
GACGAACGCUGGCGGCGUGCCUAAUACAUGCAAGUCGAGCGAAGAUUUUCUGGUGCUUGCGCCGGCAAAACUUAGCGGCGAACGGGUGAGUAACACGUAAAGAACCUGCCUUAUAGACUGAGACAACGAUUGGAAACGAUAACAACUACCGGAUAACAGCAUUAACUGCAUGGUUGAUGUUUGAAAGUUGGUUUUGCUAACACUAUGAGAUGGCUUUGCGGUGCAUUAGCUAGUUGGUGGGGUAAAGGCCUACCAAGGCGACGAUGGAUAACCGACGGGAGUGGGGGAUAGGCGACAUGGGAGGGGGACCACGGCCAAGGCGCCUAAGGGAGGCAGCAGAAGGGAAUGUGCCGCAAUGGGGGAAAGCCUGACGGAGUAACGCCGCGUGAGUGAAGAAGGAUUUCGGUUCGUAAAGCUCUGUUGUUAGGUAAGAAUGGUUGUGUAGUAAGUAGACGCGGGAGAGACGGUACCUAAUCAGGAAGCCACGGCUAACUACGUG